GGUUCUCUUUAUUUUCUUUGUCAUGCGUUAAACAACAAUUACUAUCCACGCUUCUAGACUAUUCAAAAGUUUCUCAUCGAGGUAACCGAGUCAGCGUCAUUUAUUUCGUUUCGAUUUUUAUUUACGGGCAUUUUUAUUAGCUAGAUAUCAAAUUUCGAUUGACAAUUUGAUCUUUUAAUAAUUGAAUUCUGCAAGCAUGUCAGAAAAAUAUAAAGGUUUUGCUGGAAUCCUUAUUGAUAAAAAGGAUAAAGCUAUAGUCCCCGUCAAGAAUUUAAAACAUUUUAACCCACAAAAUUUUAAUCCGAGAAAAAUGUAUAAUCUUAAUUACGAUGGUCGGAUGAAGCAAUGCAUUAUUUUAGGGAUUAAAGAAUCAAAAUCAGCAGUAGAAAAAGAAAUUUUUUUCAGGAGAGUUUCAGCUCCGCCUAAUAACCUAGUUGAAAGCGCUUCAGAAAUAAGUGAUUAUAACUACAAUAACAAGCCAAUAAACAAUAAAAAAGGAUUUUCAAAUAAAAGUAACAAAGAAAAUGGAAAAGAAAUGAAAGAAAACAAAGGUUUAAUUAAUUAAAUUUCAGAAUUGAGAAAAGCAUCUACUAAACGACGAGCAACCGAUGAUAACGAUAACGAAAUACCGUUUAAAUCAAAAAUAAAAGAAGUCCAAAAUACUUCGGCACCACUAACACCCCAAUGUCCACUUGAUAUUUCUUCGGCUAAAAAAACACUAAGUACCCAAUCUUUAACUGGAUCUAACACAGUGUUGAAAACUAUUGGUUCAUCACUUGAAAUUUUGUCACCUAAGAAGAAACCUCGAAUCGUAACUAAUAAUGUGUUAAAAACUUCUGGCUUGGUGAGUAGCAAAUUUUUUUAUAACUUUUGUAAAUUAAGGUUUUACAAAUAAAAUCUUUUUCAGGGCUUGUAUCUAAAUCUAUAAUAUUUUGAUUUUGCUAAAUAAAUCAUAAUGAUGUAAAUUCAACAUCAAUUCAUGUACAAUUCAAUUCAUAUAAUAUUAUUCUAUUCAAAUUUUUAUCUUUUAUUCUUUCCAUUUAAAGUAAAUGUAACGUCAUAGUUGAAUAGCUUCCAAGAUAAUCAUUAAGCUGGUUUUUAUUUGUAAGACAUCUCAUGGUCUACUAAUAAAGAAAAAAAAAGUAUGAAUAUAAAAAAAUUAUACUUACAUUUUAUUAAAAACGUAUGUUUACCAGGGUGUCCCAAAAAUAACAAAUAUUUUUUUUAACCUCUUAUAGGCUCAAAAGUUACUUGAUAUUAUAAAAAAAAUCCUCACUAAAUUUCAGCCAGAUAUCUUUAAAAUUGAGCUAUCACAAAGGGGGGUCCCCUUUCUCAUUUAAAAUACACGCGAAAGUUUUUCAUUUUACUUUUUUCGUUAUUAAGACUACGAAAAAAAUUUUUUUUUUUUAAUUUCACCUAGUGUAAUUUCGUAGGAAAUUAAAUUCUCUACAAAAAAGUGCUAGUGUAUGAUAUACGACAGGGAAAAAGUUACGGGGCUUCAAAGAUCAACAAAAAUUUAGUUUCCUCAGUGUUAAAUUUUUUUAAAUUAUUUUUCAUUUUUAUCCUAUGAAAAAAUUUAUUUUUCAAAUUUUGAUAGGCACUCUUUUGUAGAGAAUUUAAUUUCCUACGAAAUUACACUAGGUGGAAUAAAAAAAAAAUUUUUUUUCGCAGUCUUAAUAACGAUAAGGUAAAAUGAAAAAUUUUCGCGUGUAUUUUAAAUGGGAAGGGGACCCCACUUUGUGAUAACUCAAUUUUAAAGAUAUCUGGAUGAAAUUUAGUGAGGAUUUUUUUUAUAAUAUCAAGUAACUUUUGAGCCCAUAAGAGGUAAAAAAAAAAAUAUUUAUUUUUUUUGGGACAGUCUAAUGUUUACAGUACAGAAAUUACAGAUUUAUUCAACGCUGAGUAACAAACAAGUAAGAACUUUUUAUUCACAGGAUGUAAUGAGUGCACAAACGGUAGAUAUAUAUUAUUAUAUGCUAAAUAUAAAAAAAAAUUCUUUGUUUUCUAAUGGUGUACAAAAGGCUUUUUCCAUAACAUUCAUAAUAUAUACUUAAGAUCACCUGUUGGCUUAUGUGAGAAAUUUUACAUUUUAUCUCACAUCAUUUCGAACAAUCAAAACCUUCGCAUAUUUCAGCAUGGCUUUAGAUGCGCAUAUUGUUUUUAUGUAGCUAUUGAACCUAUCGAUCUCUUUUAUUCAUGUAAAAUCAAAUAUUUUCAAUUUUUUCUUCAAGGGCCAGUUUUUCAAUCUGGAUUUAUUUUUAUCAGGGUUCAAAUUAAUAUUGCUAGUACAUUUAUACAUCAAUAAUAUAUAGAUAUACUAGGAAUGAUAAUUUGUACCUGCAUUAAAAAUAAACCCAGUUUGAAAAACUAGCCCUAAACUUUUUUGAUACUUGAUAUUAUUUUAUUGACCUUUCUUCAAAUGAUUUAUUAUAAGAAAUAUGAUUUUUACUGAUUCAUUUAAUGAUGUCUAGUUAUCGUCAGAAGGAGAAAAAAAUGAGCAGCUGUCGAGAAGAAUAUUAAUUUAUUAAAACAUGAAUUAAAAAGAAGUAAUGAAAAAAUUGAAACCAAGGAUAAUGAGAUUAAUAAAAAAAAUAACGUGAUUGUAAAACUUAUGUCUAUAAAUGAAAAAUUACAACUUCAAGUUAUUGACCAGACUACCCUGCUUAAAAAAUCUCAUAAGAUCCGAUAGCUUCUUAUAAAUUCUCAUAGGAAUUUUAUGAGAAUCAAUGAGUUCUAUGGGAAGCGGGAGUCCUCUUCUCAUAGAACUUACUGAAUUUUAUGAGAUUGUAUAGGAGGUAUUUAAAAAAAUUAUUUUCUCCUAGAUUCUGAUAAGGGAUUCUUUAUAAGAAUCUAUCGGAAAAUACAAAUGUUUAUAAAAAAUGAGUUUUUAUAAGGUUGGAUGGGAUAAAAUAUUCACGGCAUUUAUAGGGAUCUAUAAGAAAAUAAUAAAAUUUACAAAAUUUCUGUUUUAAUAAGAACGCAUGAGAAAAUGAUCCUGUCAUUAAUAAUUGAAUUUUAUGAGGAAAUAAUAAAAUUCAUCAUAUUCCCGUUUGUAUGUUCAAUGACUUGUUGUCUCAUGUAAGUUACGGUAUUUACGCAUAUAAACAUAUUAGUCUAGUCAACAAGUGCCUUUUUGACGAAAAUCUGUCCUAGACCACCGAAAAUUAUGAUUAAAGUCUGAUUUGAUUCGAAAUGGCAUCUAUAAAAAAAAAAAAUUAAAGUGGAAAUUUGGGCCUGGCAAAAAUUGUAAGUUAUUAACAAUUUAGUAAAAAAAAAAAAAAAAAAAAAAGUGGUUUGGUUUUUUACAAAUAGUUCAACAACUAUUUGAGGUAUCCAAAAUCUGUAAAAAGAUCCUCAAAGAGCAGGAAAUUUCCAAAAAAAGUCCUGACUCCCCGAACUGUACCAACAAUAUUUAUAAUUUUAAUUUAGCGGUGAAAAUGGGACUAAAAACGGGUAGCAGCGCAUGCACGCGCGUUAAUAGAAUCAAUAACAUAAUCGAAAAAAAUUAUUUUAACCGAUUAAAUAUAAAUAUUAAGAAAUAAAAAAAAUUUGGUUCUUUCUCCACACAUGGAUUAAUAAUAAUCCACCGAAAAAAAAAUUUUACCUCAAUUUUUCAAUUAACUAUGCUUUUGUUAUUUAGUUCAUUUUUACUCGCUCAAAGUUUAUAUAAAAACCCUGAUUAUUUCUAAACUAAGAAUCCAGGAUUUUGUUCACUUCAUAGAGCUGUUCUUGAAAGGGUUUAGAAAAAAUCGUCGUUGGAAAAAUUAAAAAAUUUCGAUUUUUCACUUUUUUAUUUACGAUCUAAGGAAUUGAAAAAUUAAAAAUGUAAAUAAAGCAAUCAAGGAAUUUUAUUUUUUUGAUUAUUUUGUUUUUUUAUUGCUAAAAGCUACUUAACAAUAAUUUUAAA
Microplitis demolitor is the source of this 3907-nucleotide long non-coding RNA. RefSeq lists it as uncharacterized. Lineage: Eukaryota; Metazoa; Arthropoda; Insecta; Hymenoptera; Braconidae. The transcript has 6 exons. The record is from RefSeq and is a predicted model, not a curated record.